RNAcentral lists this ribosomal RNA (253 nucleotides) under uncultured bacterium. RNAcentral describes it as "partial 16S ribosomal RNA". It matches the Rfam family "Bacterial small subunit ribosomal RNA", at positions 524 to 776 of the family's 1533-position model. The record is from RNAcentral.
UACGUAUGGUGCAAGCGUUAUCCGGAUUUACUGGGUGUAAAGGGAGCGCAGGCGGCACGGCAAGCCUGAUGUGGAAGCCCGCGGCCCAACCGCGGGACUGCAUUGGGAACUACCGGGCUGGAGUGCCGGAGAGGUAGGCGGAAUUCCUAGUGUAGCGGUGAAAUGCGUAGAUAUUAGGAGGAACACCAGUGGCGAAGGCGGCCUACUGGACGGUGACUGACGCUGAGGCUCGAAAGCGUGAGGAGCAAACAGG